Paramuricea clavata is the source of this 70-nucleotide non-coding RNA. NCBI's taxonomy places the organism in Eukaryota, Metazoa, Cnidaria, Anthozoa, Malacalcyonacea, Plexauridae. The record is from the annotation of a GenBank genome assembly.
ACCGCGUAGCUCAGUUGAGAGCAUUGGGCUAGUAUUCCAAAGGUCGUAGGUUCGAAUCCCACCGUGGCCG